GUCAAGAAGGUCAAAUUACUCUGAAGCAACAAGGGAGGUCAAAAAUUGAUGGUUAAGUUAACCUCUGGGCAUAGUACAUGAAGAAUAUCUGUCCAACUGCGUCACCAUUUGGAUCAGGGGAGUGUUCCCCGUUUAAAGAGCAUGUAUGGCUUCAGGUGCUUCAGGUUUAUCCGAGGGAUAACAAAGAUGGAAUGGUUCAAAAAACAAGACAUAAGGAAAAAAGAUGCUUAUAUCAAUACAGUAGCCUACCACUACCAGGUUUUCUCGAAUACUGCAAUUUUCAAUUGAUUUUUAGUAUGGUGUGCGAUGUAUUUCCUUUUAAUUUAUUAUGUUCCUUGAGAUGAGAUGAAGGGUAUGAAAAUGUGUACACUGUGAAACUAAUAUGUAUAUUGUUGGAAGUUUUUAAAAAAUGGAAUCUACAAAUAAUGUGGCGUAUCUAACUAAUAUAGUUGACAA
Lolium rigidum is the source of this 456-nucleotide long non-coding RNA. RefSeq lists it as uncharacterized. The record is from RefSeq and is a predicted model, not a curated record. The transcript has 3 exons. Lineage: Eukaryota; Viridiplantae; Streptophyta; Magnoliopsida; Poales; Poaceae.